UACGGAGGAUGCAAGCGUUAUCCGGAUUUAUUGGGUUUAAAGGGUGCGUAGGCGGAUAUGUAAGUCAGCGGUGAAACUCACAGGCCCAACCUGUGCCGUGCCGUUGAAACUGUGUAUCUGGAAUGCGGAUGCUGUGGGAGGAAUGUGUAGUGUAGCGGUGAAAUGCAUAGAUAUUACACAGAACACCGAUUGCGAAGGCAUCUCACAAAGCCGUUAUUGACGCUGAGGCACGAAAGUGUGGGGAUCAAACA
Molecule: ribosomal RNA, 251 nt
Filed under: uncultured prokaryote
Description: partial 16S ribosomal RNA
Rfam family: Bacterial small subunit ribosomal RNA
Source: RNAcentral